This 269-nucleotide ribosomal RNA is filed under the name uncultured prokaryote. RNAcentral describes it as "partial 16S ribosomal RNA". It matches the Rfam family "Bacterial small subunit ribosomal RNA", at positions 524 to 792 of the family's 1533-position model. The record is from RNAcentral.
UACGAAGGUGGCGAGCGUUAUUCGGAAUCACUGGGCUUAAAGCGCACGCAGGCGGAACAGAAAGUGUCUUGUGAAAUCCCCCGGCUUAACCGGGGAAUUGCUUGGCAAACUUCUGUUCUUGAGGCAAGUAGGGGUACAUGGAACUCUUGGUGGAGCGGUGGAAUGCGUAGAUAUCAAGAGGAACGCCGAAGGUGAAGACAGUGUACUGGGCUUGUCCUGACGCUGAGGUGCGAAAGCGUGGGGAGCGAACGGGAUUAGAUACCCGUGUA